UACGUAGGGUGCGAGCGUUGUCCGGAAUUAUUGGGCGUAAAGAGCUCGUAGGCGGCCUGUCGCGUCGGUUGUGAAAGCCCGGGGCUUAACCCCGGGUCUGCAGUCGAUACGGGCAGGCUAGAGUUCGGUAGGGGAGAUCGGAAUUCCUGGUGUAGCGGUGAAAUGCGCAGAUAUCGCUUGGAACGCCGAAGGUGAAAACAGGUUGCUGGGGUUGUGCCGACGCUGAGACACGAAAGCCAGGGGAGCAAACGGG
RNAcentral lists this ribosomal RNA (253 nucleotides) under uncultured bacterium. RNAcentral's name for it is "partial 16S ribosomal RNA". It matches the Rfam family "Bacterial small subunit ribosomal RNA", at positions 524 to 776 of the family's 1533-position model. The record is from RNAcentral.